This 429-nucleotide ribosomal RNA is filed under the name Verrucomicrobiota bacterium. RNAcentral describes it as "Verrucomicrobia bacterium partial 16S ribosomal RNA". It matches the Rfam family "Bacterial small subunit ribosomal RNA", at positions 355 to 776 of the family's 1533-position model. Lineage: Bacteria; Pseudomonadati; Verrucomicrobiota. The record is from RNAcentral.
UAGGGAAUCUUCGGCAAUGGGGGGAACCCUGACCGAGCAACGCCGCGUGAGUGAAGAAGGUUUUCGGAUCGUAAAGCUCGUUUGUUAAGGAAGAACGAGUGUGAGAAUGGAAAGUUCAUGCUGUGACGGUACUUAACCAGAAAGGGACGGCUAACUACGUGCCAGCAGCCGCGGUAAUACGUAGGUCCCGAGCGUUGUCCGGCUUUAUUGGGCGUAAAGCGAGCGCAGGCGGUUAGAAAAGUCUGAAGUGAAAGGCAGUGGCGCAACCAUUGUAGGCUUUGGAAGCUGUUUAACUUGAGUGCAGAAGGAGAGAGUGGAAUUCCAUGUGUGGCGGUGAAAUGCGUAGAUAUAUGGAGGAACACCGGUGGCGAAAGCGGCUCUCUCGUCUGUAACUGACGCUGAGGCUCGAAAGCGUGGGGAGCGAACAGG